UACUUCCUAAGAGUACUAAUUCCACGAUAUAUUGGUCAGAAGAAGAGCUAACUGAGCUUCAAGGAUCCCAACUGCUGCGCACAACACUGGGUGUAAAGGAAUUUUUGCAGCGGGAAUUUCUGAAAGUAGAAGAAGAAGUCCUUGUUCCUCAUAAGGAGCUCUUUCCUUCCCCUGUAACAUUGGAUGACUUCUUUUGGGCAUUUGGGAUUCUCAGAUCAAGGGCAUUUUCUCGUCUUCGUGGGCAAAAUCUUGUUCUGAUUCCCCUUGCAGAUCUGGUCAAUCACAGUCCUGAUAUAACA
Molecule: unclassified non-coding RNA, 299 nt
Filed under: Hevea brasiliensis (rubber tree)
Lineage: Eukaryota; Viridiplantae; Streptophyta; Magnoliopsida; Malpighiales; Euphorbiaceae
Source: RNAcentral